This 1248-nucleotide ribosomal RNA is filed under the name metagenome. RNAcentral's name for it is "SSU rRNA". It matches the Rfam family "Eukaryotic small subunit ribosomal RNA", at positions 494 to 1800 of the family's 1831-position model. The record is from RNAcentral.
ACUACGUUUCGUGCUUUGGAAUGAGUACAGUCUAAACAUUUUAGCGAGGAUCAAGUCGAGGGCAAGUCUGGUGCCAGCAGCCGCGGUAAUUCCAGCUCGACAAAGGAACAUUAAAUUUGUUGCAGUUAAAAAGCUCGUAGUUGAAUUUCUUGUUUCUCGGGAUGUUUGCGUGGAGUAAUCCUCGUUUUGCAUGUCGAGGGCAAUGCUUGUACUUUUCUUCGAAAGAGGGUUUGUACAUCGUUUACUGUGACUUAAGUGACGCGUUCAUCGCAGGCUUUUGCUUGAACAACUCGCACGGAAUAAUAAAUUGAAUGUCUGAGAUUUAUUGGUUUACUUGGAUAUUUAUGUUUAACAGGAACAGUUGGGGUAACUUGUACUUUUAUGCUAGAGGUGAAAUUCUUGGAUUAUAAAAUGACAAACGACAGCGAAAGCAUUUUACAAGGAUGUUUUCAUUAAUCAAGAACGAAAGUUUGGGGAUCGAAGAUGAUUAGAUACCAUCGUAGUCCAAACCAUAAACGAUGCCGACUCGGGAUAUCCUAUUGUCUUUUGACAUUGGGUGAACCGUAUGAGAAAUCAAAGUUUUUGGGUUCCGGGGGGAGUAUGGUCGCAAGGCUGAAACUUAAAGGAAUUGACGGAAGGGCACACCAGAAGUGGAGCCUGCGGUUUAAUUUGACACAACACGGGGAAACUCACCAGGUCCAGACAUAACGAGGAUUGACAGUUUGAAAGCACUUUCUUGAUCUUAUGGGUGGUGGUGCAUGGCCGUUCUUAGUUGGUGGAGUGAUUUGUCUGGUUAAUUCCGAUAACGAACGAGACCUCUAUUGCUAACUAGCGAUGCUUAUUUUUAAUAUGCAAAGCUUCUUAGUGAGACAACUUAUUUUUAAAUAAGCGGAAGAGAGAGGCAAUAACAGGUCUGUGAUGCCCUUAGAUGUUCUGGGCCACACGCGCGCUACAAUGUCAGAUUCAAAAAGUUUUUCCUUGCUUGGAAAGGCAUGGGCAAUCUUAUAAUUUCUGACGUGAUGGGGCUAGAUUCUUGCAAUUAUUAAUCUUCAACGAGGAAUUUCUAGUAACCGUAAGUCAUCAACUUACAGUGAAUGCGUCCCUGCCCUUUGUACACACCGCCCGUCGCAGCUACCGAUUGGAAGGUCCGAUGAAAUCUUUGGAUUUGGUUUUUUGGGAGCAAUCCCAGCUGACCGGAGAAGCUGAUUAAAUCUUAUCUUCUAGAGGAAGCUGAAGUCGUAACAAGGU